AAGUCGUAACAAGGUUUCCGUAGGUGAACCUGCGGAAGGAUCAUUACCAAUUCAAAGGUGUGGUCGCGGCCUCCGGGGGCUCCCCCCGGGCGGUAGAGGUAACACUCUUACGCGCCACAUGUCUGAAUCCUUUUUUUACGAGCACCUUUCGUUCUCCUUCGGUGGGGCAACCUGCCGUUGGAACUUAUCAAAACCUUUUUUGCAUCUAGCAUUACCUGUUCAGAUACAAACAAUCGUUACAACUUUCAACAAUGGAUCUCUUGGCUCUG
RNAcentral lists this unclassified non-coding RNA (269 nucleotides) under Paraconiothyrium cyclothyrioides. RNAcentral describes it as "partial internal transcribed spacer region". The stretch from base 1 to 46 matches the Rfam family "Eukaryotic small subunit ribosomal RNA", at positions 1786 to 1831 of the family's 1831-position model. Lineage: Eukaryota; Fungi; Ascomycota; Dothideomycetes; Pleosporales; Didymosphaeriaceae. The record is from RNAcentral.